Scylla paramamosain (green mud crab) is the source of this 1449-nucleotide long non-coding RNA. RefSeq lists it as uncharacterized. The transcript has 2 exons. NCBI's taxonomy places the organism in Eukaryota, Metazoa, Arthropoda, Malacostraca, Decapoda, Portunidae. The record is from RefSeq and is a predicted model, not a curated record.
GUCAUUUGCAGGUGAAGUUGAGUUCUCCUCAAUAUUUCAAACUAAAUUAAUAGUUGGAAAAAUGCUUUUCUCGGAACUGUAAUCGAGUAACGUGAAGGGAAUGUGGCAGCUGUGUGUGGACAAGUGAGUCACUUGUUGCUGCACGACAUGACGCUGUGUUCAGGUGUUCAUAACUGUGAGGGCAGAGCACCACCUCUGCGCCUCACUUCGCUACUGCGAAACUCUUUAUCUCGAGUCAAAACUUUGGCCUGGCCAGUGUAGAGAGGGACGUAUGGCUGGAUGACUCAUGCUUGCCAGAAACAUUACAAUGACCUGAAAAAAACCAUAAACGUUGCUGGUGCUCAAUUAACAGAAGUAUCCUUCAAAUAUUCACACAUUCCAAGCGCUUUGGUGACUAUAUGAAAAAGAAAAUACAAUGUAUAACGAGAUAUAUGCGUCUGGGUUCGUUUUACAAUACAAACCUACAGAAUACAAACUGAUCGAAGGCAAAUCACUUCUUCAGAGCACCUGCCGCUUCCCAUCUCGCGAGUGACACGCUAUCGACCUCUCCACAAGGGUCCACGCGCCCGCCUCCCAACCCUCAGGAUUGGGUAUAGCCAGCCUUCUUGUAACACCAUCCCCCCAUCCUCUGUGCCUCGCCUCGCGCCAAUAUUCCAUCGUUUCCACCUUGUUCUCUGCGCCUACUGUCAUGUAUCAUUCAACAAACAAUGUCUGGGAUCGCAGCCCACUUUGAGGGAAACGUGAAAUACAACAACGAGUCAUUGGGGUUCUCUGGCCUUUACUUUCUCGGGGAUGGAACACGAGGAAUUUUUAUAUCUGAUAAAAAAAUAAACUUUUGUUGUUUCUCCUUCACGUCUGCGGCGCGAAGGGCGAUGAUGGACAACACACCGGCGGUGCUGAGGUACAGACGAGCUGUUUCUUGUGCACCACGAGAUUCUGAGGACCCACGCAAGAGAGUCAUCUGUUAAGCGAGUGUCUCACCUCACACGCCACCACCACCUCCACCAACGCUUCCACCCUUCCUCGUCCUCCCACGACCGCUUCCUUCCUCCCUUCUGUCCCUCUCCCCGCACAACACAGUCCAGCCUUUUCCCAUCCUCGCCUCACAGUAGACAGCAGGUGUGGGCGUCCAUCAUUUUUGGCCGACGAAUCAUAGACAUUCCUCCGCGGCGGUGAAGCAGGUCGGGGAAAAGCUUGUGGCGCGGGUUAAAUCUAUUACCACGUCGCAGGAAGGACACCCGAGAGAUAUUGCCUGCACCUUGCCUUCAGCUCGCUCCCAGGGCUCCUCCAUCACCCCUUUUAUCUCAGGAGUGGGACGAUAAUAACAGUACGUACAGGUGUGGGGAUAACAAGGGCCGACAGGAUAUCGAACCGAUAGCUAAAGAAAACGCAGUUACAUAAAACCCUCACCUUUCACUGCUAUUUGCCACAUCUUCCCUUCAUCACUAA